RNAcentral lists this ribosomal RNA (1345 nucleotides) under uncultured bacterium. RNAcentral's name for it is "partial 16S ribosomal RNA". It matches the Rfam family "Bacterial small subunit ribosomal RNA", at positions 28 to 1381 of the family's 1533-position model. The record is from RNAcentral.
GACGAACGCUGGCGGCGUGCUUAACACAUGCAAGUCGAACGGAAAGGCCCUGCUUUUGUGGGGUGCUCGAGUGGCGAACGGGUGAGUACACGUGAGUAACCUGCCCUUGACUUUGGGAUAACUUCAGGAAACUGGGGCUAAUACCGGAUAGGAGCUCCUGCUGCAUGGUGGGGGUUGGAAAGUUUCGGCGGUUGGGGAUGGACUCGCGGCUUAUCAGCUUGUUGGUGGGGUAGUGGCUUACCAAGGCUUUGACGGGUAGCCGGCCUGAGAGGGUGACCGGCCACAUUGGGACUGAGAUACGGCCCAGACUCCUACGGGAGGCAGCAGUGGGGAAUAUUGCACAAUGGGCGGAAGCCUGAUGCAGCAACGCCGCGUGCGGGAUGACGGCCUUCGGGUUGUAAACCGCUUUCGCCUGUGACGAAGCGUGAGUGACGGUAAUGGGUAAAGAAGCACCGGCUAACUACGUGCCAGCAGCCGCGGUGAUACGUAGGGUGCGAGCGUUGUCCGGAUUUAUUGGGCGUAAAGGGCUCGUAGGUGGUUGAUCGCGUCGGAAGUGUAAUCUUGGGGCUUAACCCUGAGCGUGCUUUCGAUACGGGUUGACUUGAGGAAGGUAGGGGAGAAUGGAAUUCCUGGUGGAGCGGUGGAAUGCGCAGAUAUCAGGAGGAACACCAGUGGCGAAGGCGGUUCUCUGGGCCUUUCCUGACGCUGAGGAGCGAAAGCGUGGGGAGCGAACAGGCUUAGAUACCCUGGUAGUCCACGCUGUAAACGGUGGGUACUAGGUGUGGGGUCCAUUCCACGGGUUCCGUGCCGUAGCUAACGCUUUAAGUACCCCGCCUGGGGAGUACGGCCGCAAGGCUAAAACUCAAAGGAAUUGACGGGGCCCCGCACAAGCGGCGGAGCAUGCGGAUUAAUUCGAUGCAACGCGUAGAACCUUACCUGGGUUUGACAUGGAUCGGGAGUGCUCAGAGAUGGGUGUGCCUCUUUUGGGGUCGGUUCACAGGUGGUGCAUGGCUGUCGUCAGCCCGUGUCGUGAGAUGUUGGGUUAAGUCCCGCAACGAGCGCAACCCUUGUUCACUGUUGCCAGCACGUUAUGGUGGGGACUCAGUGGAGACCGCCGGGGUCAACUCGGAGGAAGGUGGGGAUGACGUCAAGUCAUCAUGCCCCUUAUGUCCAGGGCUUCACGCAUGCUACAAUGGCUGGUACAGAGAGUGGCGAGCCUGUGAGGGUGAGCGAAUCUCGGAAAGCCGGUCUCAGUUCGGAUUGGGGUCUGCAACUCGACCUCAUGAAGUCGGAGUCGCUAGUAAUCGCAGAUCAGCAACGCUGCGGUGAAUACGUUCCCGGGGCU